GCUAGCUCGGGCCGGGAGCAGCCGCAGCCGGAGGAGGGGGAGGAGGAAGAGGAGAAGGAAGAGGAGAGGGGGCCGCGGUGGCGACUCGGCGCUCAGAAGCCGGGCUCAUGGACGGGUGAGGCGGCGGUGUGCGCAGACAGUGCUCCAGCCGCGCGCGCGCCCCAGGCCCUGGCCCGGGCCUCGGCCCGGGGAGGAAGAGUAGCUCGCCGAGGCGCCGAGGAGAGCGGGCCGCCCCACAGCCCGAGCCGGAGAGGGAGCGCUAGCCGCGCCGGCCCCGGUCGGGCCUCCGAAACCAUGAACUUUCUGCUG
Molecule: non-coding RNA, 309 nt
Organism: Pongo abelii (Sumatran orangutan)
Lineage: Eukaryota; Metazoa; Chordata; Mammalia; Primates; Hominidae
Source: Rfam